Molecule: non-coding RNA, 73 nt
Organism: Potamilus streckersoni
Lineage: Eukaryota; Metazoa; Mollusca; Bivalvia; Unionida; Unionidae
Source: the annotation of a GenBank genome assembly
GAUCCUAUGGCCUAAUGGUUAGAGCAUCCUCCUCGGAUGCGAAAGGUCGUGGGUUCAAACACCUACUGAGUCA